UAUUAGACCAGGCUCAAUCUGGAGGUUGA
Molecule: non-coding RNA, 29 nt
Filed under: Rattus norvegicus (Norway rat)
Lineage: Eukaryota; Metazoa; Chordata; Mammalia; Rodentia; Muridae
Source: RNAcentral